This 443-nucleotide ribosomal RNA is filed under the name uncultured bacterium. RNAcentral's name for it is "partial 16S ribosomal RNA". It matches the Rfam family "Bacterial small subunit ribosomal RNA", at positions 338 to 795 of the family's 1533-position model. The record is from RNAcentral.
CCUACGGGUGGCAGCAGUGGGGAAUAUUGGGCAAUGGGCGCAAGCCUGACCCAGCAACGCCGCGUGAAGGAAGAAGGCCCUCGGGUUGUAAACUUCUUUUGUCAGGGACGAAGAAAGUGACGGUACCUGACGAAUAAGGAUCGGCUAACUCCGUGCCAGCAGCCGCGGUAAUACGGAGGAUCCGAGCGUUAUCCGGAUUCAUUGGGUUUAAAGGGUGCGUAGGUUGUUUUAUAAGUUAGCGGUGAAAUACCGAUGCUCAACAUCGGGGCUGCCGCUGAUACUGUAGGACUAGAGAUCGGAUGCAGCAGGCGGAAUGUGUAGUGUAGCGGUGAAAUGCAUAGAUAUUACACAGAACACCGAUUGCGAAGGCAGCUUGCUAGGCCGGAUCUGACACUGAUGCACGAAAGCGUGGGGAUCGAACAGGAUUAGAUACCCGGGUAGUC